CAAUGCUAGUAUACAAGUUGCACCAACCAUACAAGAGGAGGAAGAGACCGCUGGAUAUGAAAAUGAAAAUGAAGAUGGGUUACAGGAGACUCAGCCAGGAAGUGAUGUCACUGUACAAAACGGUGCACCAGCACCUACUCGCUCCACUAGAAGUACUGCACCUCCCAGCAAAGCUCUUUUUAAUGAAAACACUACAAAUGUGACUGCAUCGAAGACAUAUAUCACUUCACAGCAGCUGAUGAAUAGAACAAGAAAUAAUCUCAAAAGGAGGAAGUAGGUGGACAAGGUUUCAGUGGGAGGCUCAUAAUCAAGCGAGGACGUAGCCAAGGAGAUGAUAUGUUGGGCUGCCACAAAUUUCUCAUGUUCUGCAUUGAUUAGGAAGUUUGUAAAAAGUUAUCAAAUAAUAAGUUAAUUGUACACUAAUUUAUGGUUUUAGCCACUAUUUCAUGGG
This is a long non-coding RNA of Sorghum bicolor (sorghum), 451 nucleotides long. RefSeq lists it as uncharacterized. The transcript has 3 exons. The record is from RefSeq and is a predicted model, not a curated record. NCBI's taxonomy places the organism in Eukaryota, Viridiplantae, Streptophyta, Magnoliopsida, Poales, Poaceae.